Molecule: ribosomal RNA, 479 nt
Filed under: uncultured bacterium
Lineage: Bacteria
Description: partial 16S ribosomal RNA
Rfam family: Bacterial small subunit ribosomal RNA
Source: RNAcentral
GAUGAACGCUAGCGGGAGGCCUAACACAUGCAAGCCGAGCGGUAGAGUUUCUUCGGAAACUUGAGAGCGGCGCACGGGUGCGUAACACGUGUGCAACCUACCUUUAUCUGGGGGAUAGCCUUUCGAAAGGAAGAUUAAUACCCCAUAAUAUAAUGAUUGGCAUCCAUUAUUAUUGAAAACUCCGGUGGAUAGAGAUGGGCACGCGCAAGAUUAGAUAGUUGGUGAGGUAACGGCUCACCAAGUCAAUGAUCUUUAGGGGUCCUGAGAGGGAGAUCCCCCACACUGGUACUGAGACACGGACCAGACUCCUACGGGAGGCAGCAGUGAGGAAUAUUGGACAAUGGGUGAGAGCCUGAUCCAGCCAUCCCGCGUGAAGGAUGACGGUCCUAUGGAUUGUAAACUUCUUUUGUACAGGGAUAAACCUACCCUCGUGAGGGUAGCUGAAGGUACUGUACGAAUAAGCACCGGCUAACUCCGUG